AGUGAACGCUGGCGGUAGGCCUAACACAUGCAAGUCGAACGGCAGCACAGUAAGAGCUUGCUCUUACGGGUGGCGAGUGGCGGACGGGUGAGGAAUACAUCGGAAUCUACUUUUUCGUGGGGGAUAACGUAGGGAAACUUACGCUAAUACCGCAUACGACCUACGGGUGAAAGCAGGGGAUCUUCGGACCUUGCGCGAUUGAAUGAGCCGAUGUCGGAUUAGCUAGUUGGCGGGGUAAAGGCCCACUAAGGCGACGAUCCGUAGCUGGUCUGAGAGGAUGAUCAGCCACACUGGAACUGAGACACGGUCCAGACUCCUACGGGAGGCAGCAGUGGGGAAUAUUGGACAAUGGGCGCAAGCCUGAUCCAGCCAUACCGCGUGGGUGAAGAAGGCCUUCGGGUUGUAAAGCCCUUUUGUUGGGAAAGAAAAGCAGCAGGUUAAUACCCCACUGUUCUGACGGUACCCAAAGAAUAAGCACCGGCUAACUUCGUG
RNAcentral lists this ribosomal RNA (492 nucleotides) under uncultured bacterium. RNAcentral's name for it is "partial 16S ribosomal RNA". It matches the Rfam family "Bacterial small subunit ribosomal RNA", at positions 29 to 507 of the family's 1533-position model. The record is from RNAcentral.